This is a small nuclear RNA of Myxocyprinus asiaticus (Chinese sucker), 162 nucleotides long. RefSeq annotates it as U1 spliceosomal RNA. The record is from RefSeq and is a predicted model, not a curated record. Lineage: Eukaryota; Metazoa; Chordata; Actinopteri; Cypriniformes; Catostomidae. The transcript has a single exon.
GUUGUAACUUGUGGAGAUCAUCAUGAUCAUGAAGGUGGUUCACUCAAGGUGAGGUUCAGUCAUUGCACUCAGACUGCUGUUGACCUUUGAGAAUUCCCCAAAUGUGGGAAUCUCGACUGAAUAAUGUCUGGUAGUGGGGGACUGCAUUCACGCUUUCCCUGG